This 525-nucleotide ribosomal RNA is filed under the name uncultured bacterium. Its description in RNAcentral is "bacterial SSU rRNA". It matches the Rfam family "Bacterial small subunit ribosomal RNA", at positions 355 to 896 of the family's 1533-position model. The record is from RNAcentral.
UGGGGAAUAUUGCGCUAAUGCGCGAAAGCGUGACGCAGCGACGCCGCGUGGGGGAUGAAGGCCCUCGGGUCGUAAACCCCUUUCGGCAGGGACGAAGCGAGAGUGACGGUACCUGCAGAAGAAGUCCCGGCUAACUACGUGCCAGCAGCCGCGGUAACACGUAGGGGACGAGCGUUGUCCGGAUUCAUUGGGCGUAAAGCGCGCGUAGGCGGCCCGGAAAGUCGGUUGUGAAAUCCCUCAGCUCAACUGAGGAAUUGCCUUUGAUACUGCUUAACUUGAGGACAGGAGAGGAAAGUGGAAUUCCAGGUGUAGCGGUGGAAUGCGUAGAUAUCUGGAGGAACACCAGAGGCGAAGGCGGCUUUCUGGACUGGUCCUAACGCUGAGAUUCGAAAGCCAGGGGAGCAAACAGGAUUAGAUACCCUGGUAGUCCUGGCCGUAAACGAUGGAUACUAGAUCUUGCAUAAUUAUGCUUGGUCGCAGCUAACGCGUUAAGUAUCCCGCCUGGGGAGUACGGUCGCAAGGUUA